This 125-nucleotide small RNA is filed under the name Marmota monax (woodchuck). The record is from RNAcentral. Lineage: Eukaryota; Metazoa; Chordata; Mammalia; Rodentia; Sciuridae.
GCUGGGCGUGGUGGAGGAGGCCUGUAAUCCCAGUGGCUCAGGAGGCUGAGACAGGAGGAUCCCAAGUUCAAAGCUAGCCUCAGCAAAAGCAAGGCACUAAGCAACUCAGUGAGACUCUGUCUCUA